CCUACGGGUGGCAGCAGUGGGGAAUAUUGGACAAUGGGGGCAACCCUGAUCCAGCCAUGCCGCGUGUGUGAAGAAGGCCCCCGGGUUGUAAAGCACUUUCAGUGAGGAAGAACGCCUGGUGGUUAAUACCCAUCAGGAAAGACAUCACUCACAGAAGAAGCACCGGCUAACUCCGUGCCAGCAGCCGCGGUAAUACGGAGGGUGCGAGCGUUAAUCGGAAUUACUGGGCGUAAAGCGCGCGUAGGUGGCUUGAUAAGCCGGUUGUGAAAGCCCCGGGCUCAACCUGGGAACGGCAUCCGGAACUGUCAAGCUAGAGUGCAGGAGAGGAAGGUAGAAUUCCCGGUGUAGCGGUGAAAUGCGUAGAGAUCGGGAGGAAUACCAGUGGCGAAGGCGGCCUUCUGGACUGACACUGACACUGAGGUGCGAAAGCGUGGGUAGCAAACAGGAUUAGAUACCCGUGUAGUC
This 465-nucleotide ribosomal RNA is filed under the name Vreelandella stevensii. RNAcentral's name for it is "partial 16S ribosomal RNA". It matches the Rfam family "Bacterial small subunit ribosomal RNA", at positions 338 to 795 of the family's 1533-position model. Lineage: Bacteria; Pseudomonadati; Pseudomonadota; Gammaproteobacteria; Oceanospirillales; Halomonadaceae. The record is from RNAcentral.